CAGUCGCCACGGUAAUACGGAGGGUGCAAGCGUUACUCGGAAUCACUGGGCGUAAAGGACGCGUAGGCGGAUUAUCAAGUCUCUUGUGAAAUCUAACGGCUUAACCGUUAAACUGCUUGGGAAACUGAUAAUCUAGAGUAAGGGAGAGGCAGAUGGAAUUCUUGGUGUAGGGGUAAAAUCCGUAGAUAUCAAGAAGAAUACCUAUUGCGAAGGCGAUCUGCUGGAACUUAACUGACGCUAAUGCGUAAAAGCGUGGGGAGCAAACAGGAUUAGAUACCCGCGUAGUCCCUGUCUCUUAUAU
Molecule: ribosomal RNA, 301 nt
Filed under: uncultured bacterium
Lineage: Bacteria
Description: partial 16S ribosomal RNA
Rfam family: Bacterial small subunit ribosomal RNA
Source: RNAcentral